AAAUGCCGCGUGUGUGAAGAAGGCYUGCGGGUUGUAAAGCACUUUCAGUGGGGAGAGAAAAGCUAGGGGUUAAUACCCUGAGUCUUGACGGUACCCUCAGAAGGAGCUCCGGCCUAAYUCCGUGCCACCAGCCGCGGUAAUUACGGAGGGGSCAAGCGUUAUUCGGAAUUACUGGGGGUAAAGCGGGCGUAGGGGGUUUUGUAAUUCGGAUGUGAAAACCCCGGGCUUAACCCUGGGAAUUGCMUUUGAAAMUGGCMAGCUUGAGUUUUGGAAAGGGAAGUGGAAUUUCCGGUGUAGCGGGUGAAAUGCGUAAAAAUYCGGAAGAACACCCGUGGCGAAGGCGGCUUCCUGGGCCAAUACUGACGCUGAAGUGCGAAAGCGUGGGGAGCCAAACAGGAUUAAAUACCCUGGUAGUCCCCGCCCUAAACGAUGAUAACUAGACGUUGGGGGAAUUYGMCCCUYURUGUCSCAACCUAACGCGUUAAUUUUCYCCCCUGGGG
RNAcentral lists this ribosomal RNA (500 nucleotides) under uncultured Gammaproteobacteria bacterium. Its description in RNAcentral is "partial 16S ribosomal RNA". It matches the Rfam family "Bacterial small subunit ribosomal RNA", at positions 392 to 878 of the family's 1533-position model. Lineage: Bacteria; Pseudomonadati; Pseudomonadota; Gammaproteobacteria. The record is from RNAcentral.